AGGGACAGGGUGGGCAGAACCGCGCAGGAACGCCAUUCCCCCUCCGCUCUGGAGUCAACCGCAUCAGCUGCUUUGGGCAGCCCCGGUCCCCAGUGAGGUUUUUACCCCGAGCAAAACCCAUUUUUCCAUUUCAGGCCAAGCCCAAAGGAUUUCUCCCAGCCGCGGUGGCCCCGUUGUGCCCUCCGUCCGUCCCGUGUCCCCUCCGUGACGGUUGUCCCCUGUCCCCGCAGGCACCUACCUGACCCACGAGGCCAAGGGCUCCGAUGACGCGCCGGACGCCGACACGGCCAUCAUCAACGCGGAGGGCGGCCAAGCCGGCGGCGACGACAAGAAGGAAUAUUUCAUCUAAGGGCGUCGGAGAGGAUUUACUCUCGUGCCCGGCACGGGCAGACAGACGGACGGACGGACAGAGGGAUGGCGGGACAGAGAGAGCAGAGAGCGACCGGCUGAGACGUGAUGCUUCUUCUUGAACUUGUACAAAACGUUGUUACUACGAACAGCGAAAGCCCCGUUUGCUUGCUUGCACCUCCAACCCCGCGCCCGGCGCUCGCGCGAAACACAGACCAAGCAGUGAGUGA
This is a long non-coding RNA of Numida meleagris (helmeted guineafowl), 578 nucleotides long. RefSeq lists it as uncharacterized. NCBI's taxonomy places the organism in Eukaryota, Metazoa, Chordata, Aves, Galliformes, Numididae. The record is from RefSeq and is a predicted model, not a curated record. The transcript has 2 exons.